This 60-nucleotide transfer RNA is filed under the name Mesocricetus auratus (golden hamster). It matches the Rfam family "tRNA", at positions 7 to 64 of the family's 71-position model. From Rfam's summary of the family: Transfer RNA (tRNA) molecules are approximately 80 nucleotides in length. The record is from Rfam by way of RNAcentral. Lineage: Eukaryota; Metazoa; Chordata; Mammalia; Rodentia; Cricetidae.
GUAGCUCAGUUGGUAGAGCACUUGUCUGGCAUACAUGAAGCCCUGGGUUCAAUCUCCAGC